Molecule: non-coding RNA, 45 nt
Organism: Schistosoma rodhaini
Lineage: Eukaryota; Metazoa; Platyhelminthes; Trematoda; Strigeidida; Schistosomatidae
Source: Rfam
AUCCGGCUGACGAAUCCCAAGUAGGACGAAACGCUCAUCGUGGAU